GCGACCCCGUAUGGGACGAGCGGUUCUGAAAGUGUGUUUGUGUGUGUAUAUUAAUAUGCAAAUGUGUAAAUCACAUGAGCUUCUCAGCAGCACUUUCAGUUUCAUUGAACAGUCCGAUGCAUCUAAGCGCACGUCACACUGCACUACACUUUACUACGAUACAGUAAAAUAAAGUACAGUACAAUACAAAACUUCGUAGAGUACAAUACACUACAAUAUAGUAGAAUAGAGGACUUCGUCGAGGCUCCGAAGAGACGACACGUUCGGUUCGGCCAGUCCAGACAACUGUAUGUAUGUACAAUGAUUUCCCACUGUUUACCGGCCUCGAGGUGCAUAAAAGGUACGUCUGGUCCAUCAUGGCAGUUGGUCAUCAGCUUCAGUCAUCAUGGGUUGCUGGUAUCCCCGCCGGCCUUCUUGCUCAAGGGGUCUAGAGCUGGAGGAUUUGGACUCUUUGUUACUCUUGCUAUUGUUAUUGUUAGUGCUGCAUCAUGGAUGAAAAACCAGCAAGUUCGUUCAGUGCGAACGUCGAGCGACUCUCCGUACACGCGCUGCGAGCGCUGCCAGGACGCGCAGUGCGGCGCUCUGCUCCGAAGUGUGUGGCGGUCCGACGGCGUCAGCGACUUCCAGUUGUGGUCCUCGGGCGGCGGCGACACGCUCGUCCCGGACUGCUCGACCAUCUCUCCAUCUCCCGCUACUAGCAUUGUGUGCCAGAGUCACCUUGUCGUUUACCUCUUCGCAAAGGAGUCCGACCCGCCCAUUAAGUUUCACUUUGAAGGAAAGACCGGGAAUUAUCUCACUUCCGAAGCAGUAGACUGCCCCGAAGUAACACAGAAAUUACGUGCCAUGCCACAUGGAGGCGCUGCUCCACCUAUAACAUCCAUGGCCUCCUCCGCACCAAAAGCUGGUUUUAGAAAUGCCGUAUGUGCAGCCAGGCUCGUGGCGGUUCGUAGCCUAUCUCUGAGGCACCGGGCGCAAAUGUUUGUAGCUGUUGCCAUAAUUGGAGGUGCAGCAAGAUGA
Long non-coding RNA from Scleropages formosus (Asian bonytongue), 1017 nucleotides. Lineage: Eukaryota; Metazoa; Chordata; Actinopteri; Osteoglossiformes; Osteoglossidae. The record is from Ensembl.